Molecule: ribosomal RNA, 253 nt
Filed under: uncultured bacterium
Lineage: Bacteria
Description: partial 16S ribosomal RNA
Rfam family: Bacterial small subunit ribosomal RNA
Source: RNAcentral
UACGUAGGGUGCAAGCGUUAUCCGGAAUUAUUGGGCGUAAAGAGCUCGUAGGCGGUUUGUCGCGUCUGCUGUGAAAACUGGAGGCUCAACCUUCAGCUUGCAGUGGGUACGGGCAGACUAGAGUGCGGUAGGGGAGAUUGGAAUUCCUGGUGUAGCGGUGGAAUGCGCAGAUAUCAGGAGGAACACCGAUGGCGAAGGCAGAUCUCUGGGCCGUAACUGACGCUGAGGAGCGAAAGCAUGGGGAGCGAACAGG